RNAcentral lists this ribosomal RNA (606 nucleotides) under uncultured cyanobacterium. RNAcentral describes it as "bacterial SSU rRNA". It matches the Rfam family "Bacterial small subunit ribosomal RNA", at positions 45 to 689 of the family's 1533-position model. Lineage: Bacteria; Bacillati; Cyanobacteriota. The record is from RNAcentral.
UGCCUAACACAUGCAAGUCGUACGAGUAGUUUUUAACUCAAGUGGCGGACGGGUGAGUAACACGUGAGAAUCUACCUUUAGGAGGGGGAUAACAACUGGAAACGGUUGCUAAUACCCCAUAUGCUUUCGAGUGAAAUGGAUUUAUCCGCCUAGAGAGGAGCUCGCGGCUGAUUAGCUUGUUGGUAGGGUAAUGGCCUACCAAGGCGACGAUCAGUAUCUGGUUUGAGAGGACGAUCAGACACACUGGAACUGAGACACGGUCCAGACUCCUACGGGAGGCAGCAGUGGGGAAUUUUCCGCAAUGGGCGAAAGCCUGACGGAGCAAUACCGCGUGAGGGAAGACGGCCUAUGGGUUGUAAACCUCUUUUCUCAGGGAGGAACUCAAUGACGUGUACCUGAGGAAUAAGCAUCGGCUAACUCCGUGCCAGCAGCCGCGGUAAGACGGAGGAUGCAAGUGUUAUCCGGAAUCACUGGGCGUAAAGCGUCUGUAGGUGGUUUAAUAAGUCAACUGUUAAAUCUUGAAGCUCAACUUCAAAAUCGCAGUCGAAACUAUUAGACUAGAGUAUAGUAGGGGUAAAGGGAAUUUCCAGUGGAGCGGUGAAAUGC